UAAUAAUAAUAAAAGGGUUUAAAAUUAGGUUAUGACACCUACUAGUAAUUAAAAAAUAUAAAAAAAAACAGAAAAAUCUUUAUUUAAUCACAGCAACACGGGAUAAUACCUGGCUAGUUAUCACUUAAUGAAAGACUGCAAGUCUACAAGAGCUGACAAUAAGAGCAAGGCUGCUACAACUGAAGGAUUUACAAUGGAAUUAGAAAUAAAAUUUAAGUCCACAUUGGCAUGGGCUUAAUCUACAAAAAUAUAGAAAAUCUACACUUGUUGACCUGCUUGCCCAUCCCUUUUUUCUACUUCUUCCUGACCUCCUAUUUGACUCUCAUUCUCACUCAUACAGUACUUCUUGAAGAAAUAACCAAAACACCUCAUCACAAAAGGCACUGAAGCCGCAAUCAAAAGAUAGCGAAAACGCACAGAUUCAUUAGGAGUAACAGCAAAAACCGCAGAUGCAUAGGUUAUCAUAAUUGAAGCUGUAGCAGCCCAUAUUUCAAGAUGGAAAGGGAACCUGUAAGUGAGAGAUGUAAUGACAAGUAUACAAGUGGAGAGAGCCAAAGUGUUUGAUAUCAAGAAAACAUAGAAAGCACGCUUUUGAGAUGCAUAAAUUGCUCUUCCUACACGAUCUCCUUCUUGCCAGACCCCUCCAGGAGGGUUCACCCCGGCCUGGAAAGUCACUGCUGCAAUCAAGGCCACAACUACUAGCAAAACAUUUCUAGCAUCGCUUGGUGAGUCUCUCACUUCAUCAUACUGAAAUUUCUUGAACCAGCCAGCACUUCUUUUAGUAUUGUUUUUUUUUAGGCUGAGACAUUUUUACUUGGGCAAAGAUAUGUGGGAGAUACCAGCACUCUGGCUCUCAAGAAGUUACUUAUAAAGAGCCUCCGUUCUAUUUGAGUCCACUUAUUUUAGUAGAUUUUUAUUUUUUUUAUAUUAGUAUACCAAUUUUUUUAUUAUUGUAUCAAUUAAAUAUUUUUGUUGUGACUUUGAUUCAAUGAAAUUGAGUUUGGGUUUUUCUUUAGAAUAAAUAAUUAUCUCUCCAUCACUAAAAUAGUUCAAUGUAGAGAUAAAUUUGAUCGAGCUUUUGGUUUUAAUUCCAUGGCUUUGGUUUGAUUUAAUUUUUGUCAUUCUUCGAAUAUCUUUGUUUCUUGAUAGAUUUUUUUGUUGAUACUGUGAUCCAAAUAAAAAUUGGAUAAAAUUUUAUUUUUUAUUUAAAAUUAAUUUUUUAUAUUUUAAAAUUUUUUAAUUUAUAUAAAAAAUAUUUUUUAAAAAAUAAAAAAAUAUUAUUUUAAUAUAUUUUUACGUAAAAAAUACUUUAAAAAAUAAUUUUUGUUUUUGUAUUUUUUUCUGGUUAUAUUAAUUUUUCAUCAAUAUUUCUAUCAUAAAUUGCUUUGUAUUUUGAAUCUUGAAGGCCUAAGAGAUGGUAGACAAAAUAGAAAAAGAGACAAGACAGUUCAAUAGAAGAAAAAGAAAGAAUAAUAGUGAAUAAUAUUUUUUUAUUUUUUGAUGUGUUAUGUCAAAAUAUUUUUUUAAAUUAAUUUUUUUUUUCAUUUUAAUAUAUUUUAAAAUAAAAACAUUUUAAAAAAUAAUCAUUAUCCACCUUUAAAUAUCAUUAAGAUGAGGCAACCCUUCUUUUGACUCGGCUAGCCUACUGUUCUGCGGGUAUAUUUUAUUGCUGCAUCAUUUUCACUAUAAUUUUCAUUAUAGUGAAAAUUCAGAAUUAUUUUAAUGGAUUCAAAUUCAACAGGGUGAUUUUUUACGGUGGAUUCAAAUUCAACAACAAGGGCU
This 1782-nucleotide long non-coding RNA is filed under the name Populus trichocarpa (black cottonwood). Its description in RNAcentral is "long non-coding RNA (PTRI_LNC000478)". Lineage: Eukaryota; Viridiplantae; Streptophyta; Magnoliopsida; Malpighiales; Salicaceae. The record is from RNAcentral.